Molecule: ribosomal RNA, 425 nt
Filed under: uncultured bacterium
Lineage: Bacteria
Description: partial 16S ribosomal RNA
Rfam family: Bacterial small subunit ribosomal RNA
Source: RNAcentral
GUGGGGAAUCUUGCGCAAUGGGCGAAAGCCUGACGCAGCAACGCCGCGUGCGGGAUGAAGGCCUUCGGGUUGUAAACCGCUUUCAGCAGGGACGAAAAUGACGGUACCUGCAGAAGAAGCUCCGGCUAACUACGUGCCAGCAGCCGCGGUAAUACGUAGGGAGCAAGCGUUGUCCGGAUUUAUUGGGCGUAAAGAGCUCGUAGGCGGUUUCGUAAGUCGAGUGUGAAAAAUCUGGGCUUAACCCAGUGGAGCACUCGAUAAUGCGAUGACUUGAGUCUGGUAGAGGAGUGUGGAAUUCCUGGUGUAGCGGUGAAAUGCGCAGAUAUCAGGAGGAACACCAACGGCGAAGGCAGCACUCUGGGCCAGUACUGACGCUGAGGAGCGAAAGCGUGGGGAGCAAACAGGAUUAGAUACCCGGGUAGUCC